CAGUCAAGAAUUACUGAGAACAGUGUUCUUCAACGUACCAUCUUGAGGAGAAUGAGAAGAUGUGAAAAUGAGAUCAACACCAGAAGCAUGGAAAAAUACUAUCAUAGAAAAGAACAUGCUAAAUAACAGGGAAUCCACAAUCAACAAGUUGCAAAGCUGAAACUAUUAUUUGGAAAAAUCUCCCUCACAACAAAAAGCCAGAGUGCAAGAGAAAUUCUCAUUCACAUACAUGACACUUCCAGAGUGAAAAAGAUGUGAUGAAGAACUCCUGAUUUUAAUUGCAAGGCAACUCAGAACAGACCAUAGAUGGAAUAGGUCAACUUAACUAUAAAGCCAGCU
Molecule: long non-coding RNA, 339 nt
Organism: Nothoprocta perdicaria
Lineage: Eukaryota; Metazoa; Chordata; Aves; Tinamiformes; Tinamidae
Exons: 2
Source: RefSeq, a predicted model, not a curated record